Eupeodes corollae is the source of this 833-nucleotide long non-coding RNA. RefSeq lists it as uncharacterized. The transcript has 3 exons. NCBI's taxonomy places the organism in Eukaryota, Metazoa, Arthropoda, Insecta, Diptera, Syrphidae. The record is from RefSeq and is a predicted model, not a curated record.
CAUUUUUUUUUAAUGUGGGGAGUAUGCACAUCUUCUUGCAUAAGUAUUCGUUCCCCACAUUUUUUUUAUAUGGAGUUAAUACAUAUGCAAGUUUAUGUGCAAAUCGCAGCUUGUAGGCAAAAAGAGAGCAACCGUCGAAGUUGGUUCUCUCGUUUAGUUUUUUUCUCUCUGCUUUAGCAGUAAAGUUUUAAGCAGUAAAACACAAAUUUUAUUUUUAACAUAUAAUAAAUACAUAAUUAAAAAUAUAAGUGGGUCUUAUCUAUUAACGCAAUGUGAUUAGUUUUGAAUUCGAGGGAAUUUCUACAAAAAUUUAAAAAAAAAUAUACCAGGGGGGAAAAGGUCAUCGUUUCUACGACCCUCGUUUGUUCCGCCAUUGCAAUGACGUUUGGUUAAGAUUACCAGAAAAGUUUAGAAAGUUUUUUGUUAUGUAUUUAAACUUUCACUUUGGUAAACUAGGGCCCGCCUAUUUCUUCAUCUUAGUUAAUUCAAGUAAGGAAAUGUGAUAUACUUUAUCAACUAUGUAUAUCUAGCGGAACACUUAAAAAUAUCUUUAAUUGAUCUCUUUAAAAAUUGUUACUUAUAAUAACUUAAUAAUGGGAAAAUGUAUAUGUAUCUCUUACUUGUUUUCAAAUCCGGAUGAAGUCAUAAUCAUAUGUAAAAUGUCUGCAAUUCGUAAUUUAUUGAAUUAUCUCUUGAACAGGGGUAUCAAAUGAUGUGACUUAUUUCUCUUAAGUCUUUAAAAGAGUUGAUCAGAAAUUAUUGGUCUCAUUUAUAGUGUACAAAUUUCGGCUACAAAGUAAGUGAAUACUGAUUUUGACGUUUCACAAUCAGCU